Molecule: ribosomal RNA, 451 nt
Filed under: uncultured bacterium
Lineage: Bacteria
Description: bacterial SSU rRNA
Rfam family: Bacterial small subunit ribosomal RNA
Source: RNAcentral
UUGCCAGACUCCUACGGGAGGCAGCAGUGGGGAAUAUUGGACAAUGGGGGGAACCCUGAUCCAGCGACGCCGCGUGAGUGAAGAAGUAUUUCGGUAUGUAAAGCUCUAUCAGCAGGGAAGAAAGAAAUGACGGUACCUGACUAAGAAGCCCCGGCUAACUACGUGCCAGCAGCCGCGGUAAUACGUAGGGGGCAAGCGUUAUCCGGAUUUACUGGGUGUAAAGGGAGCGUAGACGGCAAUGCAAGUCUGGAGUGAAAGGCGGGGGCCCAACCCCCGGACUGCUCUGGAAACUGUAUAGCUGGAGUGCAGGAGAGGUAAGUGGAAUUCCUAGUGUAGCGGUGAAAUGCGUAGAUAUUAGGAGGAACACCAGUGGCGAAGGCGGCCUGCUGGACGAUGACUGACGUUGAGGCUCGAAAGCGUGGGGAGCAAACAGGAUUAGAUACCCUUGGUA